UCUGUGUAAAUUAUAUUAUGAGGUAACUUCCAUUGAAGUCACUUAGUUUUCCUGUUAGCUAUAUUCUUGUUUAAAAUUUUCAAAAAUCUCCCCAUGGAAGUUCCUUAAACAAUAAUGCAAAAUCCACUUAAAUUCACUAUUUGGAGUUGUAUUAUUCUUAUAACAAAUCAAAUAUUUUUGAGGCACAAUAUUUAAUUCAAAAGAUAU
Molecule: long non-coding RNA, 207 nt
Filed under: Mytilus galloprovincialis (Mediterranean mussel)
Lineage: Eukaryota; Metazoa; Mollusca; Bivalvia; Mytilida; Mytilidae
Source: RNAcentral